RNAcentral lists this ribosomal RNA (327 nucleotides) under uncultured eukaryote. RNAcentral's name for it is "partial 18S ribosomal RNA". It matches the Rfam family "Eukaryotic small subunit ribosomal RNA", at positions 1470 to 1796 of the family's 1831-position model. The record is from RNAcentral.
CCCUUAGAUGUUCUGGGCCGCACGCGCGCUACACUGACGAAUGCAACGAGCUUAUAACCUUGGCCGAAAGGUCUGGGUAAUCUCCAAAUUUCGUCGUGAUGGGGAUAGAUUAUUGCAAUUAUUAAUCUUCAACGAGGAAUGCCUAGUAAGCACAAGUCAUCAGCUUGCGUUGAUUACGUCCCUGCCCUUUGUACACACCGCCCGUCGCUCCUACCGAUUGAAUGGUCCGGUGAAGCGUUCGGACCGUGGCCUUUGGACGGUCCGCCGUCUGUUGGCUGCGGGAAGUUCGUUAAACCUUAUCAUUUAGAGGAAGGAGAAGUCGUANCA